Procambarus clarkii (red swamp crayfish) is the source of this 83-nucleotide non-coding RNA. The record is from the annotation of a RefSeq genome assembly. Lineage: Eukaryota; Metazoa; Arthropoda; Malacostraca; Decapoda; Cambaridae.
GCGGUGAUGUACCGAGUGGUUAAGGCGUCUGACUUGAAAUCAGAUGGGAUCUUCCCGCGUAGGUUCGAAUCCUACUCACUGAG